This 467-nucleotide ribosomal RNA is filed under the name uncultured bacterium. RNAcentral's name for it is "partial 16S ribosomal RNA". It matches the Rfam family "Bacterial small subunit ribosomal RNA", at positions 28 to 507 of the family's 1533-position model. The record is from RNAcentral.
GACGAACGCUGGCGGCGUGCUUAACACAUGCAAGUCGAACGGAAAGGCCUCUUUCGGGGGGUACUCGAGUGGCGAACGGCUGAGUAACACGUGAGUAACCUGCCCUUGACUUUGGGAUAACUUCAGGAAACUGGGGCUAAUACCGGAUAGGAGCUCCUGCUGCAUGGUGGGGGUUGGAAAGUUUCGGCGGUUGGGGAUGGACUCGCGGCUUAUCAGCUUGUUGGUGGGGUAGUGGCUUACCAAGGCUUUGACGGGUAGCCGGCCUGAGAGGGUGACCGGCCACAUUGGGACUGAGAUACGGCCCAGACUCCUACGGGAGGCAGCAGUGGGGAAUAUUGCACAAUGGGUGGAAGCCUGAUGCAGCAACGCCGUGUGCGGGAUGACGGCCUUCGGGUUGUAAACCGCUUUCGCUCAUGACGAAGCUUUGUGUGACGGUAGUGGGUAAAGAAGCACCGGCUAACUACGUG